UACGUAGGUGGCAAGCGUUGUCCGGAUUUAUUGGGUUUAAAGGGUGCGUAGGCGGCUUAAUAAGUCAGUGGUGAAAGCCGAUCGCUUAACGAUCGAACUGCCAUUGAUACUGCUAGGCUUGAGUAUAGUUGAGGUAGGCGGAAUUGACAGUGUAGCGGUGAAAUGCAUAGAUAUUGUCAAGAACACCAAAUUGCGAAGGCAGCUUACUAAAGUAUAACUGACGCUGAGGCACGAAAAGUGCCGGGG
RNAcentral lists this ribosomal RNA (246 nucleotides) under uncultured bacterium. RNAcentral's name for it is "partial 16S ribosomal RNA". It matches the Rfam family "Bacterial small subunit ribosomal RNA", at positions 524 to 767 of the family's 1533-position model. The record is from RNAcentral.